UACGAAGGGGGCUAGCGUUGCUCGGAAUUACUGGGCGUAAAGGGCGCGUAGGCGGAUACUUAAGUCGGGGGUGAAAGCCCGGGGCUCAACCUCGGAAUUGCCUUCGAUACUGGGUAUCUUGAGUUCGGGAGAGGUGAGUGGAAUGCCGAGUGUAGAGGUGAAAUUCGUAGAUAUUCGGCGGAACACCAGUGGCGAAGGCGACUCACUGGCCCGAUACGUGACGCUGAUGCGCGAAAGCG
This 239-nucleotide ribosomal RNA is filed under the name uncultured bacterium. RNAcentral's name for it is "partial 16S ribosomal RNA". It matches the Rfam family "Bacterial small subunit ribosomal RNA", at positions 524 to 761 of the family's 1533-position model. The record is from RNAcentral.